CGGUGAAGAUGGCUCGCGGCCUAUCAGUUGUGGUGAGGUAGUGGCUCACCAAGCGAUGACGGGUAGCCGGCCUGAGAGGGCGACCGGCCACACUGGACUGAGACACGGCCCAGACUCUACGGGAGGCAGCAGUGGGGAAUAUUGCACAAUGGGCGAAAGCCUGAUGCAGCGACGCCGCGUGAGGGAUGACGGCCUUCGGGUUGUAAACCUCUUUCAGCAGGGAAGAAGCGAAAGUGACGGUACCUGCAGAAGAAGCGCCGGCUAAUACGUGCCAGCAGCCGCGGUAAUACGUAGGGCGCAAGCGUUGUCCGGAAUUAUUGGGCGUAAAGAGCUGUAGGUGGCUUGUCGCGUCUGCCGUGAAAACCCGAGGCUCAACCUCGGGCGUGCGGUGGGUACGGGCAGGUCUAGAGUGUGGUSGGGKSNAUUGGSSUUCCUGGUGUUSKYGGUNSSSUGCGYAGAUAUCAGGAAGAACACCGAUGGCGAAGGCAGGUUUCUGGGUUAUUACUGACACUGAGAAGCGAAAGCAUGGGGAGUGAACAGGAUUAGAUACCCUGGUAGUCCAUGCCGUAAACGUUGGGYACUAGAUGUGGGGSSCAUUCAC
Molecule: ribosomal RNA, 601 nt
Filed under: Brachybacterium sp. S5Dg
Lineage: Bacteria; Bacillati; Actinomycetota; Actinomycetes; Micrococcales; Dermabacteraceae
Description: 16S ribosomal RNA
Rfam family: Bacterial small subunit ribosomal RNA
Source: RNAcentral